RNAcentral lists this ribosomal RNA (460 nucleotides) under uncultured bacterium. RNAcentral's name for it is "partial 16S ribosomal RNA". It matches the Rfam family "Bacterial small subunit ribosomal RNA", at positions 338 to 795 of the family's 1533-position model. The record is from RNAcentral.
CCUACGGGAGGCAGCAGUGAGGAAUAUUGGUCAAUGGACGCAAGUCUGAACCAGCCAUGCCGCGUGCAGGAAGACGGCUCUAUGAGUUGUAAACUGCUUUUGUACGAGGGUAAACGCAGAUACGCGUAUCUGUCUGAAAGUAUCGUACGAAUAAGGAUCGGCUAACUCCGUGCCAGCAGCCGCGGUAAUACGGAGGAUUCAAGCGUUAUCCGGAUUUAUUGGGUUUAAAGGGUGCGUAGGCGGUCUGUUAAGUUAGAGGUGAAAUCCCGAGGCUCAACUUCGGAAGUGCCUCUGAUACUGGUAGGCUAGAGAGUAGUAGCGGUAGGCGGAAUGUGUGGUGUAGCGGUGAAAUGCUUAGAGAUCAUACAGAACACCGAUUGCGAAGGCAGCUUACCAGGCUACUUCUGACGUUGAGGCACGAAAGCGUGGGGAGCAAACAGGAUUAGAUACCCGAGUAGUC